AACCAGACUCCUACGGGAGGCAGCAGUGAGGAAUAUUGGUCAAUGGGCUUACGCCUGAACCAGCCAAGUCGCGUGAGGGAAGACUGCCCUAUGGGUUGUAAACCUCUUUUGUCAGGGAGCAAUUGGCGCUACGUGUAGCGUUAUCGAGAGUACCUGAGGAAAAAGCAUCGGCUAACUCCGUGCCAGCAGCCGCGGUAAUACGGAGGAUGCGAGCGUUAUCCGGAUUUAUUGGGUUUAAAGGGUGCGUAGGCGGACUGCAAAGCCGGCGGGAAAGUCGCGGGGCCAACCCUCGCUCCGCCGUUGAAACUGGCGUUCUUGAGUGGGCGAGAAGUAUGCGGAAUGCGUGGUGUAGCGGUGAAAUGCAUAGAUAUCACGCAGAACUCCGAUUGCGAAGGCAGCAUACCGGCGCCCAACUGACGCUGAAGCACGAAAGCGUGGGUAUCGAACAGGAUUAGAUACCCGUGUA
Molecule: ribosomal RNA, 466 nt
Filed under: uncultured bacterium
Lineage: Bacteria
Description: partial 16S ribosomal RNA
Rfam family: Bacterial small subunit ribosomal RNA
Source: RNAcentral